Long non-coding RNA from Pleuronectes platessa (European plaice), 2944 nucleotides. RefSeq lists it as uncharacterized. The transcript has 3 exons. The record is from RefSeq and is a predicted model, not a curated record. Lineage: Eukaryota; Metazoa; Chordata; Actinopteri; Pleuronectiformes; Pleuronectidae.
UGGGUGGUUUAAAGAGUAGAGUAAAGAUGUUAAUUUUGUUUUAACUCAUUAGUACAGUGCCUGUUCUAAACCUGGUUCUCUCAGCUCGAGUUAAUGCUCCAGAGCUACUUCAGAAUGAUUCCUUCUCAUUAGCGACUCCUCCUUAGACACUUCUACAAUAUACUGUCACUUUUUUAUGGUUUGUGUGCUUGGCGUUGUGUGCAUAGCUUUUUUUAUAAACAUCCUGUCUUCAUCCUUCUUGGUUUAUCAGCAAUAGAUAUAUUAUUGUCAAUGUUUUUCAUCAAACAAAACUGAAUUGGCUUUAAUACUACGUGUGUAUGUGUCUAAAGCCGAGGAGGACUUAAAGUGAGGGUCUGUAUCGGCACUUAUAAAACUAGAGUGGGCUAACGUGCAGUGAGAGAUGACAAAGAGAACAGUUUUGCAGUCAUGACAACUGUUGAAAUCAUUAUUUUCUUGAAAAUGACAUUUUUUGGUAAAUUGUCUAUAAAUCAUAACAUGAAACAGUGUUUCUAUUUAAAUCAAGGUUUUUUCACAGUAGGCAUAUAUUAUGAUUGACAGGACUGUGAGUCACACUUAAGGAAACUUAAAAUAACCGCGUGACUGAUACGACUUAUGUUGCGGAAUAGAUAAUGUGUUGCUCCAGUCCACUUCUCUGUGACCUAAAAAAAGACAUGCAGUCAGACCGAGGCUUCUUUUUGAAUACGACAGUAAAAGUGUGUCAUUGUGGUGAUAUCUCCCCCCCCACUUUCCGUCUUCACACACAUGAUGUCAAAUCCUCUGUGUUGCUGUGGCAGAUGUACCUCAGGGGGAAGCUGCUGUUUGUGGGCUACUUGCACAGUGGUCGCAGCUGCUCAGUCGGGGACCUUCAGAAGCAGAUCUGCAGAAGCAGGGGAGACUACAGAUUAGGUCUGAGCCUCCCACCAGACUACAAGUUCAGUGAAGCAGUGAAUAACUCAGCCGCAGAUGCACACAACUCACAAGAUGCAGCGGUGACAGGAAGAGAUGACGUACCACUGCCUGCUUCAGUGGAAAAGAAAAAGGUCGAUGAGAGUUAAUCACAAGCUGCACAAACCAAGCAAGAGCAGCAGAGGAACCCAGCAGCCUGCAGGGGGCAGCCUCAGGACAUCACAUGGAAACAAGCAGCAGCAGACUGCUUGGAAAUUAAGCAGCAAAGAUCCAGGGAUUUGUUGUUGUUGUAGAUUCGUUAACCCUAACAUCAGAAGCUUAACCUAAACGAGGACAUCCAGAGGGGGACAGAGAGACAGCUCACCUUCAAAGUUAAAGUUCAGGAGAUCGGAGGUUUGAUUUGAUUAAUGAGUAAUAUUUGAACCUUACUCCUUAUGCUAGUUUAUGGGAACAAUAUGUCAUUUAUUUGAUCACCGAAUAUAAAUUAGAAGGUUUUGCAUGAAUUUUCAGAAUUAUAUUAAAUUAAAUGUGUCCCACACUGCGAUUCCUGUAAUGCGUCAGAACCUAAGGUUGGAAACUAUUGGGUUAUUCUCUAACAAUAGGUUUUUAAAGCAUGUUAAAUCAUCCAGUAUCUAAAAUCCCAAAAUAUAAGAGUAACUUUUAAGUAAGGCUGUCAAAUAUAUGUAGUAGAAAAUUCAAUGGUUUUCUCUGAAAUGUGAAUCAAAAAAAGCAUAGAAUGACACAGACACACAAAAUAACGUGUCCAUGUUUUUCCUCUGCUUAGUUCCUCAUGGGAAUGAGCAGGUGGUGUGGGCUAGGGGGUAGAGUGGACGUUCUCUGACAAGAAUAUUGGUGGUUCAAAUCCCACUCUUCCCCAUCUGCAUUCAGAAGUGUCCUUGGCAAGACACUGAACUCCUUAUAUUGGCAGGACUUCAACCACCGAUUAAUUGCAAAUUAUCUAACACUAUGUAAAUUUAAAAACAGAAAUAAAUAAAUAUAUAAUAACUAAAUUAAAUUAAAAAAUAAUUAAAUUAAACUAGAUUAAUUGAAUCCCCUUGAAAAUCCCUCCAGAAUAGGUUCAUUUUCACCAAUUUCUAUUUUUAUGCAAAUUUUGAUAAGAAUUGUAGCAUGUUAAAGCCCUCAAAAAUCCCAUUCAUUUGCCUGAAAAAUAAUAAUAAUAAUCCUUACAAUUUGAAUAGGUCUCACUGUCUGUCAGUGCCUGUCAGUGCUCGGGCCCUAAAUAUGAAUCCAGUGAAUAUAAAUGUGGUUUCUUAAGGGGAUUGCUGGCAGAGGUAUGCACUCUACUGAAUAAGAUUCUGUUUUUAUGACAUGUGGGUGAAUUACCUGCGUGAUGUCUUCUUCCCGAACAGAAAAACCACAGAAGUUUGUGAGGCCUCCCAGGAACGUCAGAGAAACUUUUGUAUCAAAUCAAAACAGACAUUUCCGCAUGUUCCUUUGACGACGCAUUGACCAGAUUACUUCUGUAUCUUCCUCCUAAAGUUAUCAAGUGCACUGUUGGUUCAAACUUAAGGUUUAUGUUGGCAAACACCUAAUAUACCUAGUAUACAAGUUUUCACCUACAUGGGACUGCAGAUACAACAUUUCUUUCCCUUCUGACAGUAAGGAUCAUCUGCUGUUAACUCUUGCAGCCAUCAGACGAUCCAAGAUGCUAAGAUGAGAUACAGAUGUUUCACCGUGCUCUGAAAAUCCUCAAUUUAUAUAAAUAUCCAUGGAAAAUACAUGUGUUACUUGGAUUUUUUAUCAUUGUAAUAAACGCUAAAUUUUCAUUCUUUUGUUAUAAUGUCUCUCCCACACACAUAUGUGGAAGUGUUCUCACAGCUUUGCCAGCUGCUGUUAUUCACUCCCCUUCCUUCUCUACAGCCAGUAAGAAGGUCAGAUUACAACAUGAGGAUUCUUUUUGAGUUUUACUUCCUCAACUAUAUAUCAGUUAUGGCUUACACAGUAUGAGCUCGCCUCUUAGUCAUAUACCAGUGUAAGCAAUUUAAGUAAUGAUGAUGUAUUUGGAAAUAAAUGUGUG